GUCUCUAUCGUCUAGGGGUCAGGACGACGCUUUUUCACAGCGUAAACAUGGGUUCAAAUCCCAUUAGAGAUA
RNAcentral lists this transfer RNA (72 nucleotides) under Gomphonema parvulum. Its description in RNAcentral is "tRNA-Glu". It matches the Rfam family "tRNA". Rfam says of the family: Transfer RNA (tRNA) molecules are approximately 80 nucleotides in length. Lineage: Eukaryota; Bacillariophyta; Bacillariophyceae; Cymbellales; Gomphonemataceae. The record is from RNAcentral.